Molecule: ribosomal RNA, 413 nt
Filed under: uncultured Desulfobulbus sp.
Lineage: Bacteria; Pseudomonadati; Thermodesulfobacteriota; Desulfobulbia; Desulfobulbales; Desulfobulbaceae
Description: bacterial SSU rRNA
Rfam family: Bacterial small subunit ribosomal RNA
Source: RNAcentral
GGUCUUGACAUCCCGGAGACCCUUAGGAAACUAAGGGGGUGGCUUCCAUCUGGAAGAAUCUGGAGACAGGUGCUGCAUGGCUGUCGUCAGCUCGUGUCGUGAGAUGUUGGGUUAAGUCCCGCAACGAGCGCAACCCUUGCCUUUAGUUGCCAGCAGUUCGGCUGGGCACUCUAAAGGGACUGCCGGUGUUAAACCGGAGGAAGGUGGGGAUGACGUCAAGUCCUCAUGGCCUUUAUGACCAGGGCUACACACGUACUACAAUGGCCGAUACAAAGGGCAGCGACACUGCGAGGUGAAGCCAAUCCCGUAAAAUCGGUCUCAGUCCGGAUUGGAGUCUGCAACUCGACUCCAUGAAGUUGGAAUCGCUAGUAAUCGUGGAUCAGCAUGCCACGGUGAAUACGUUCCCGGGCCUU